Molecule: small RNA, 166 nt
Filed under: Klebsiella pneumoniae subsp. pneumoniae KpO3210
Lineage: Bacteria; Pseudomonadati; Pseudomonadota; Gammaproteobacteria; Enterobacterales; Enterobacteriaceae
Description: RtT sRNA
Rfam family: tRNA (bases 1-66)
Source: RNAcentral
UAGCUCAGUUGGUAGAGCAGUUGACUUUUAAUCAAUUGGUCGCAGGUUCGAAUCCUGCACGACCCACCAUCUUUAACAUCGAACGUCGGUGUUAAACGUGAAGGAUAACGUUGCUUCAGCUACGGCCCGAAGGGCGAGCGAAGCGAGUCAUUCUGCACUCCAAUCA